UUGGGCGUAAGAGCUCGUAGGCGGUUUGUCGCGUCUGCUGUGAAAUCCCGAGGCUCAACCUCGGGCCUGCAGUGGGUACGGGCAGACUAGAGUGCGGUAGGGGAGAUUGGAAUUCCUGGUGUAGCGGUGGAAUGCGCAGAUAUCAGGAGGAACACCGAUGGCGAAGGCAGAUCUCUGGGCCGUAACUGACGCUGAGGAGCGAAAGGGUGGGGAGCAAACAGGCUUAGAUACCCUGGUAGUCCACCCCGUAAACGUUGGGAACUAGUUGUGGGGACCAUUCCACGGUUUCCGUGACGCAGCUAACGCAUUAAGUUCCCCGCCUGGGGAGUACGGCCGCAAGGCUAAAACUCAAAGGAAUUGACGGGGACCCGCACAAGCGGCGGAGCAUGCGGAUUAAUUCGAUGCAACGCGAAGAACCUUACCAAGGCUUGACAUAUACGAGAACGGGCCAGAAAUGGUCAACUCUUUGGACACUCGUAAACAGGUGGUGCAUGGUUGUCGUCAGCUCGUGUCGUGAGAUGUUGGGUUAAGUCCCGCAACGAGCGCAACCCUCGUUCUAUGUUGCCAGCACGUAAUGGUGGGAACUCAUGGGAUACUGCCGGGGUCAACUCGGAGGAAGGUGGGGAUGA
Molecule: ribosomal RNA, 629 nt
Filed under: uncultured bacterium
Lineage: Bacteria
Description: bacterial SSU rRNA
Rfam family: Bacterial small subunit ribosomal RNA
Source: RNAcentral